This 474-nucleotide unclassified non-coding RNA is filed under the name Hevea brasiliensis (rubber tree). Lineage: Eukaryota; Viridiplantae; Streptophyta; Magnoliopsida; Malpighiales; Euphorbiaceae. The record is from RNAcentral.
UAAAGAAAAUAACAAAAGUAAAAAUAUUCUUUAUUUUUUACUCUUUAUUUUUCUUUUCUCCUAAAAAUGUUUCUAGAGUAUCAGUUUCGGUUUAAGAGAUACUGUUAAUUAGGGUCGAAUCAAAUGGUCUACUUAUUAUUAUUUCGAUUUUAUUUUGAUUUAGUCUAAUUUUAAUUUAAUUUAUUUUUUUAGCUCAAAUAAGAUCAAUUGGCUUUGGUUAUAUUUUAUGUUGAUUUUGGUAACUUAAAUUUAAUUAAUUUUAAUUUUAAAUUGAAUCAAUCUAGAUUUAAUUUUGAAACGGAGCAUAACCAAAUCAAGCCCAAUUUUUUGUACUUAAUCUAAACCUUAGGAUAUAUUUUUCCCCCUUAAGUAAGCUUUGGGCUUCUCAAAGCCCAACAAAAGUCUUACAAUGAUUAGCUUGAAUUUUAUCUUCUAAUAAUUUUAAUUACUUAUAGCAAUUCUUAUUCAUAUUCG